AGGCAGAGGCAAUGGUGGACUUGUGAACCGUGUCAGAUCCGGAAGGAAGCAGCACUAAGCUAGCUUCGCCAUGUGCCUUUUAUAAAA
Molecule: signal recognition particle RNA, 87 nt
Filed under: Isobaculum melis
Lineage: Bacteria; Bacillati; Bacillota; Bacilli; Lactobacillales; Carnobacteriaceae
Description: Bacterial small signal recognition particle RNA
Rfam family: Bacterial small signal recognition particle RNA
About the family: The signal recognition particle (SRP) is a universally conserved ribonucleoprotein involved in the co-translational targeting of proteins to membranes. Archaeal SRP consists of a 7S RNA and homologues of the eukaryotic SRP19 and SRP54 proteins.
Source: Rfam by way of RNAcentral